Long non-coding RNA from Seriola aureovittata, 976 nucleotides. RefSeq lists it as uncharacterized. The transcript is spliced from 3 exons. NCBI's taxonomy places the organism in Eukaryota, Metazoa, Chordata, Actinopteri, Carangiformes, Carangidae. The record is from RefSeq and is a predicted model, not a curated record.
CUCGGUUUGUCCGGAUCUUUCUGAUGGAUUUGUUUCACCUCGACAUUGAUGGGAGCUUCCGACUGAAUGAAGACAUCCGAUCGGCGGGAGCGCGGCGUCCAGGCUCCGUCAGGCUCCGUCAGGCUCGUUCACUUCACUGCAAAGGACAUCUAGCGGUUACGCUCCCUCCGUCUCCGCUGCCUUCCCUCUGCAGCCUGCACAUCCUCACAGUUGUCUGAGAGUGAUGUAAAGACCCUGUCAGUUGCCAUCACCUUCUCCGAGAACGUGUUCCAUCAAUCUCGACGCCAAACGGGCAAGCAAUGGCAGGUGGCACAUAUUUCACCUGCCCAGGCAAAAUGGUCCAGAAGUGGGACAAGGCAGAGACGAAAGUGACACAUACGAAGGUGACAGCUUUUCACACCUGGGAAUAAUGGUUUUGAUAGGUGUCCUGCUUGUUUCGCUGCUGCGGACUGGACAGAGACCAAAAAUGUGUGAUAAUAUACACAAUUAGCUCAUGGCGCAAAAAGACCCAGGGCCUUCACAAGCCAGGGCAAAUCUAAACUCUCUACCUUUCACCAGGAAAGCGUGACGGCUCAGUCUCAGCACAAUGCUGGAGGAAUACCAUGUUUUGACACAUCAAGGAUACAAUUAUUGGACCCUAAAGCUAUGCCUGUCCACACAUGCACCCUUCCCAGUUAGACAGUGAAUAUUUGUGGGAGCAGUGCAGUUAAUUUCCACAUUGCCACCAGAAGACUAUCAUCCCAGCUCCACCUGAUUCUCCAUGUACAACACUGAAAAGAAUACAAAUUAUCACCAAUGCAAUACACAUAUAUACCUAUAUAUGCUGUGUAUAUUUCUGUGAUAUCCCUGUCUUGUCUGUUUUAUGUCAGAUGAUAUUACACAUGUGCAGCAGCUUCAAAAGUAAAUCAGUGUUAAUAUCACUUUGGAUGUCCAAUUUAUUCUGUCACAAUAUCCCUCUCCCUUGUGUUUUGUAAAG